AAAUACUUUAAAUUAAAGAUCAAAUUUAUUCAUUAAUUCUUAUAGGGUCGAGGAGUGUAUCUGUAAAAAUCAUCAAAAUCGGAGCUAAAAUAACCGUUAAAUUGUGAUUUUUCGUUUAUAACCGUCGAAAACUUUUGUUCCGUUACGUAAUCUCUGAAUGUUUUUUUUUUACGAUUUUUUAUGUAUGUGAUCUCGGAAUGUGUACAAAUAUGUUUGACGGUUUGAUCGUUGAAAAAUGUUUCGUAGAAUGCAUAUUGCGUCAAAACAGUAGAUUAAACAAACACUUAGAGUUAAUAUUAUACUUCUAUUAAGUAUAAAAUAAGUUUUUGUGGUAUCUACUAGUGUAAAUACUUUAAAUGAAAGAUCAAAUUUAUUCAUUGCAUUCUUAUAGGGUCGAGGCGUGUAUCUGUAAAAAAAUCAUCAAAAUCGGAGCUAAAAUAACCGUUAAAUUGUGAUUUUUCGUUUAUAAUCGUCGAUAACUUUUGUUCCGUUACGUAAUCUCUGAAUAUUCGCUUUUUUUACAAUUUUUUACGUAUGCAAUCUUGGAAUGUGUACAAAUAAGUUUGACGGUUGGAUCGUUGAAAAAAACUUGUCAUUACGAGUGUUUAUAUAUUUUUUCUAUAUUUUUUUACACUUCUACAUUAAUUAAAAAACUAUUAAAGA
This 663-nucleotide long non-coding RNA is filed under the name Malus domestica (apple). Its description in RNAcentral is "long non-coding RNA (MDOM_LNC010383)". The record is from RNAcentral. Lineage: Eukaryota; Viridiplantae; Streptophyta; Magnoliopsida; Rosales; Rosaceae.